RNAcentral lists this ribosomal RNA (62 nucleotides) under Angustimassarina italica. RNAcentral describes it as "partial 28S ribosomal RNA". Lineage: Eukaryota; Fungi; Ascomycota; Dothideomycetes; Pleosporales; Amorosiaceae. The record is from RNAcentral.
UCUUGACCUCGGAUCAGGUAGGGAUACCCGCUGAACUUAAGCAUAUCAAUAAAGCGGAGGAA